AUUGAACGCUGGCGGCAGGCCUAACACAUGCAAGUCGAGCGGAUGAAGGGAGCUUGCUCCUGGAUUCAGCGGCGGACGGGUGAGUAAUGCCUAGGAAUCUGCCUGGUAGUGGGGGAUAACGUCCGGAAACGGGCGCUAAUACCGCAUACGUCCUGAGGGAGAAAGUGGGGGAUCUUCGGAACUCACGCUAUCAGAUGAGCCUAGGUCGGAUUAGCUAGUUGGUGGGGUAAAGGCCUACCAAGGCGACGAUCCGUAACUGGUCUGAGAGGUGGAUCAGUCACACUGGAACUGAGACACGGUCCAGACUCCUACGGGAGGCAGCAGUGGGGAAUAUUGGACAAUGGGCGAAAGCCUGAUCCAGCCAUGCCGCGUGUGUGAAGAAGGUCUUCGGAUUGUAAAGCACUUUAAGUUGGGAGGAAGGGCAGUAAGUUAAUACCUUGCUGUUUUGACGUUACCAACAGAAUAAGCACCGGCUAACUUCGUG
RNAcentral lists this ribosomal RNA (484 nucleotides) under uncultured bacterium. Its description in RNAcentral is "partial 16S ribosomal RNA". It matches the Rfam family "Bacterial small subunit ribosomal RNA", at positions 30 to 507 of the family's 1533-position model. The record is from RNAcentral.